AUACGUAGGGGGCGAGCGUUGUCCGGAAUGACUGGGCGUAAAGGGCGUGUAGGCGGCGGUGUAAGUCUGGAGUGAAAGUCCCGCAUUCAAUGUGGAAAUUGCUUUGGAUACUGCAGUGCUAGAGUGCGGAAGAGGUAAGUGGAAUUCCCAGUGUAGCGGUGAAAUGCGUAGAGAUUGGGAGGAACACCAGUGGCGAAGGCGACUUACUGGGCCGUAACUGACGCUGAGGCGCGAAAGCGUGGGGAGCGAACAGGAUUAGAUACCCUGGUAGUCCACACUGUAAACGAUGAAUGCUAGGUGUAGGGGGUAUCGACCCCUUCUGUGCCGCAGUCAACACAAUAAGCAUUCCGCCUGGGGAGUACGGCCGCAAGGUUGAAACUUAAAUGAAUUGGCGGG
This 396-nucleotide ribosomal RNA is filed under the name uncultured bacterium. Its description in RNAcentral is "partial 16S ribosomal RNA". It matches the Rfam family "Bacterial small subunit ribosomal RNA", at positions 523 to 917 of the family's 1533-position model. The record is from RNAcentral.